GUACACGGUGGAUGCCCUGGCAGUCAGAGGCGAUGAAGGACGUGCUAAUCUGCGAUAAGCGUCGGUAAGGUGAUAUGAACCGUUAUAACCGGCGAUUUCCGAAUGGGGAAACCCAGUGUGAUUCGUCACACUAUCAUUAACUGAAUCCAUAGGUUAAUGAGGCGAACCGGGGGAACUGAAACAUCUAAGUACCCCGAGGAAAAGAAAUCAACCGAGAUUCCCCCAGUAGCGGCGAGCGAACGGGGAGGAGCCCAGAGCCUGAAUCAGUGUGUGUGUUAGUGGAAGCGUCUGGAAAGGCGCGCGAUACAGGGUGACAGCCCCGUACACAAAAAUACACAUAUUGUGAGCUCAAUGAGUAGGGCGGGACACGUGGUAUCCUGUCUGAAUAUGGGGGGACCAUCCUCCAAGGCUAAAUACUCCUGACUGACCGAUAGUGAACCAGUACCGUGAGGGAAAGGCGAAAAGAACCCCGGCGAGGGGAGUGAAAAAGAACCUGAAACCGUGUACGUACAAGCAGUGGGAGCACGCUUAGGCGUGUGACUGCGUACCUUUUGUAUAAUGGGUCAGCGACUUAUAUUCUGUAGCAAGGUUAACCGAAUAGGGGAGCCGAAGGGAAACCGAGUCUUAACUGGGCGUUAAGUUGCAGGGUAUAGACCCGAAACCCGGUGAUCUAGCCAUGGGCAGGUUGAAGGUUGGGUAACACUAACUGGAGGACCGAACCGACUAAUGUUGAAAAAUUAGCGGAUGACUUGUGGCUGGGGGUGAAAGGCCAAUCAAACCGGGAGAUAGCUGGUUCUCCCCGAAAGCUAUUUAGGUAGCGCCUCGUGAAUUCAUCUCCGGGGGUAGAGCACUGUUUCGGCAAGGGGGUCAUCCCGACUUACCAACCCGAUGCAAACUGCGAAUACCGGAGAAUGUUAUCACGGGAGACACACGGCGGGUGCUAACGUCCGUCGUGAAGAGGGAAACAACCCAGACCGCCAGCUAAGGUCCCAAAGUCAUGGUUAAGUGGGAAACGAUGUGGGAAGGCCCAGACAGCCAGGAUGUUGGCUUAGAAGCAGCCAUCAUUUAAAGAAAGCGUAAUAGCUCACUGGUCGAGUCGGCCUGCGCGGAAGAUGUAACGGGGCUAAACCAUGCACCGAAGCUGCGGCAGCGACGCUUAUGCGUUGUUGGGUAGGGGAGCGUUCUGUAAGCCUGCGAAGGUGUGCUGUGAGGCAUGCUGGAGGUAUCAGAAGUGCGAAUGCUGACAUAAGUAACGAUAAAGCGGGUGAAAAGCCCGCUCGCCGGAAGACCAAGGGUUCCUGUCCAACGUUAAUCGGGGCAGGGUGAGUCGACCCCUAAGGCGAGGCCGAAAGGCGUAGUCGAUGGGAAACAGGUUAAUAUUCCUGUACUUGGUGUUACUGCGAAGGGGGGACGGAGAAGGCUAUGUUGGCCGGGCGACGGUUGUCCCGGUUUAAGCGUGUAGGCUGGUUUUCCAGGCAAAUCCGGAAAAUCAAGGCUGAGGCGUGAUGACGAGGCACUACGGUGCUGAAGCAACAAAUGCCCUGCUUCCAGGAAAAGCCUCUAAGCAUCAGGUAACAUCAAAUCGUACCCCAAACCGACACAGGUGGUCAGGUAGAGAAUACCAAGGCGCUUGAGAGAACUCGGGUGAAGGAACUAGGCAAAAUGGUGCCGUAACUUCGGGAGAAGGCACGCUGAUAUGUAGGUGAAGUCCCUUGCGGAUGGAGCUGAAAUCAGUCGAAGAUACCAGCUGGCUGCAACUGUUUAUUAAAAACACAGCACUGUGCAAACACGAAAGUGGACGUAUACGGUGUGACGCCUGCCCGGUGCCGGAAGGUUAAUUGAUGGGGUCAGCGCAAGCGAAGCUCUUGAUCGAAGCCCCGGUAAACGGCGGCCGUAACUAUAACGGUCCUAAGGUAGCGAAAUUCCUUGUCGGGUAAGUUCCGACCUGCACGAAUGGCGUAAUGAUGGCCAGGCUGUCUCCACCCGAGACUCAGUGAAAUUGAACUCGCUGUGAAGAUGCAGUGUACCCGCGGCAAGACGGAAAGACCCCGUGAACCUUUACUAUAGCUUGACACUGAACAUUGAGCCUUGAUGUGUAGGAUAGGUGGGAGGCUUUGAAGUGUGGACGCCAGUCUGCAUGGAGCCGGCCUUGAAAUACCACCCUUUAAUGUUUGAUGUUCUAACGUGGACCCGUGAUCCGGGUUGCGGACAGUGUCUGGUGGGUAGUUUGACUGGGGCGGUCUCCUCCUAAAGAGUAACGGAGGAGCACGAAGGUUGGCUAAUCCUGGUCGGACAUCAGGAGGUUAGUGCAAUGGCAUAAGCCAGCUUGACUGCGAGCGUGACGGCGCGAGCAGGUGCGAAAGCAGGUCAUAGUGAUCCGGUGGUUCUGAAUGGAAGGGCCAUCGCUCAACGGAUAAAAGGUACUCCGGGGAUAACAGGCUGAUACCGCCCAAGAGUUCAUAUCGACGGCGGUGUUUGGCACCUCGAUGUCGGCUCAUCACAUCCUGGGGCUGAAGUAGGUCCCAAGGGUAUGGCUGUUCGCCAUUUAAAGUGGUACGCGAGCUGGGUUUAGAACGUCGUGAGACAGUUCGGUCCCUAUCUGCCGUGGGCGCUGGAGAACUGAGGGGGGCUGCUCCUAGUACGAGAGGACCGGAGUGGACGCAUCACUGGUGUUCGGGUUGUCAUGCCAAUGGCACUGCCCGGUAGCUAAAUGCGGAAGAGAUAAGUGCUGAAAGCAUCUAAGCACGAAACUUGCCCCGAGAUGAGUUCUCCCUGACCCUUUAAGGGUCCUGAAGGAACGUUGAAGACGACGACGUUGAUAGGCCGGGUGUGUAAGCGCAGCGAUGCGUUGAGCUAACCGGUACUAAUGAACCGUGAGGCUUAACCUU
Molecule: ribosomal RNA, 2888 nt
Filed under: Shigella sonnei
Lineage: Bacteria; Pseudomonadati; Pseudomonadota; Gammaproteobacteria; Enterobacterales; Enterobacteriaceae
Description: bacterial LSU rRNA
Rfam family: Bacterial large subunit ribosomal RNA
Source: RNAcentral